RNAcentral lists this long non-coding RNA (579 nucleotides) under Ananas comosus (pineapple). RNAcentral's name for it is "long non-coding RNA (ACOM_LNC038624)". Lineage: Eukaryota; Viridiplantae; Streptophyta; Magnoliopsida; Poales; Bromeliaceae. The record is from RNAcentral.
GUGUGAGAGAGAGAGAGAGAGAGAGAGAGAGAGAGAGAGAGAGAGAGAGAGAGAUUUAUUUUAAAUUUAAAUUUAAAUUUUUAAAAUUUAUAAUUUUAAAAUUUAAAUUUAUAAUUUAAAAUUAUAAAUUUUAAAGUUUAAUUUUUAAAUUUGAUAUUUUUAAAUUUUUAAAUUUUAAAUUUGUUAUUUUUAAUUUUUAAAUUUUAAAUUUGUUAUUUUAUAUCUUUAAAAUUUAAAUUUGGUCUUAAAUUUAAAAUUGGAUAUUUAAAAUUAAAGUUUUAAAUUUUACUUUCAAAUUUUAAAAUUUAAAAGUUAAAAUUUUUAAUUUUUAUUUUAAAAUUAUAAAUUUAAAAUUUAAAAAUUUAAAUUCAAUUAUAUGGGUAAUAUCAUUAUUUUUUAUUUAUAACUAACAAUUAAUCCUCUUAUUCCCAAUAACCAUCCAAACAUAAUUUUUCUAAUUCCAUCUUAUUCUCAUAUUUUUAUCCAAAUAAAAAAAUAUUUUUAUUCUUACAAAAACUCAUAUUCGUACUUAACUAUCUCCGGUAUAAUUAGUUCCUAAUAAUUUUCGAACAAAAAGGA